Molecule: long non-coding RNA, 100 nt
Organism: Sebastes umbrosus (honeycomb rockfish)
Lineage: Eukaryota; Metazoa; Chordata; Actinopteri; Perciformes; Sebastidae
Exons: 3
Source: RefSeq, a predicted model, not a curated record
ACUGAUGUGCCACUGCUUUCAUGAAACCGAGUCAAGACUAAACCGAGCCAGGAUAACUGGAAAACCCCAUCUUAAUCCCCUAUCUGGAUUUGUUUUAAAC